This 253-nucleotide ribosomal RNA is filed under the name uncultured bacterium. RNAcentral's name for it is "partial 16S ribosomal RNA". It matches the Rfam family "Bacterial small subunit ribosomal RNA", at positions 524 to 776 of the family's 1533-position model. The record is from RNAcentral.
UACAGAGGUCCCAAGCGUUGUUCGGAUUCACUGGGCGUAAAGGGUGCGUAGGCGGGUCUUUAAGUCAGAGGUGAAAUCCGGGAGCUCAACUCCAGAACUGCCUUUGAUACUGAGGAUCUUGAGUUCGGGAGAGGUGAGUGGAACUGCGAGUGUAGAGGUGAAAUUCGUAGAUAUUCGCAAGAACACCAGUGGCGAAGGCGGCUCACUGGCCCGAUACUGACGCUGAGGCACGAAAGCGUGGGGAGCAAACAGG